CACGUAGGUGGCGAGCGUUAAUCGGAUUCACUGGGCGUAAAGGGUCCGCAGGGUGCCUGCCAAGUCUGCCGUGAAAUCCCGGGGCUCAACCCCGGGCCUGCGGUGGAGACUGGCGGGCUGGAGUUCGCGAUGGGCAGACGGAACACCUGGUGUAGCGGUGGAAUGCGUGGAUAUCAGGUGGAACACCGACGGCGAAGGCGGUCUGCUGGCGCGCUACUGACCCUCAUGGACGAAAGCGUGGGUAGCAAACAGGAUUAGAUACCCUGGUAGUCCACGCCGUAAACGUUGAGGACUAGAUGUGGUGGGGCUGGCCCCCUCCGCGUCCAAGCAAACGCGAUAAGUCCUCCGCCUGGGGACUACGGCCGCAAGGCUAAA
This 375-nucleotide ribosomal RNA is filed under the name uncultured bacterium. RNAcentral describes it as "bacterial SSU rRNA". It matches the Rfam family "Bacterial small subunit ribosomal RNA", at positions 524 to 898 of the family's 1533-position model. The record is from RNAcentral.